Ostrea edulis (European flat oyster) is the source of this 1231-nucleotide long non-coding RNA. RefSeq lists it as uncharacterized. Lineage: Eukaryota; Metazoa; Mollusca; Bivalvia; Ostreida; Ostreidae. The record is from RefSeq and is a predicted model, not a curated record. The transcript has 3 exons.
CCUAAUUUUUUUAAAUUUUACCCCUAAAAUUUGCCCUUAUUUUUUGUCCAAGGGUGCUGGACAGCCUGCUAGUAAUAUAGAGGUCUCGGGUUCGAUUCCCAGUCGAGUAAAAACCACUGAUAUCAAUCUGGAUAGCUCAGUGGUUAGAGCACCUGACUAGUAAUACAGGGGUCUUGGGUUCGAUUCCCAGUCGAGUAAAAACCACUGAUAUCAAUCUGGAUAGCUCAGUGGUUAGAGCACCUGACUAAUACAGGGGUCUGAGGUCCAAUCCCUGGUCCUAUCAUAUCGUGGGAACGAAGGGCCUUGGAUUCGAUCCCCAUUGUGACACCGGUUCAGCCAUAUUUUCUUUUCUUUCCCAUUACAUUGACAUCUAUGUAAACAUGUAAAUAUAUCACAAACUAUCCCUGACAUUUCAGUUUGAUAUGAUUACACUUUGUUUAUUUUGUAGGACGGUGGAGAUUUAGAUAAGUGGUGUGAUGUUAUUGAUGGUAAACAGAAGACUGUGACCUUGAAUCUGAAGAUCUGUGAUGAAGACUGGACGUUUGGGGUCACUCUCUGUUACAGUACUACAAAUCUAACAGUGUCAAACUCAGCCACAAAGAGGUUGUCUCUGAUGUCCACACAUAAACCUAAUGGACUGUCUAAAUGACAGUGAAUGUAACGGAGGAACUGUCCGUCCUGAUCUAGGAUGUGGAUACGGUGAUUGUCAAAGUCUGCUGUCAGGAUGUGACUCUGGCUGUCUGUAGUGAUGCCGCGUGGAUUAAAUGAUUGCUUGGUAUUAGAGGGAUGACCAGUGUAUCUAAAUAGGCUGAAUAGACCAAAUGAUUGCUCGGUAUUAGAGGGAUGACCCGUGUAUCUAAAUCGGAGUUUUCCUGACUGAUUGACCACCACUACUGCUCUAGCUGUAUAGUCAGCCACACAGAUAUCCAGGUUCUUGUUCUCACUGAGGUAUUUAGUGUUACCACCAGAUGAGUAGAGAGGACGACCCUGAUCAUCAAACUGAAUGCUUUGUUUCUCUGUGGAGCCGGAGUAACGCACGACUUUGGAUUGUUUGAGAUCAUCACUGAUCAUGAUAACCAGGAGAUCGUUACCCGCGGUACAGCAGACAAAGCGAGGUCUCCACCCCUGUAGUGUGAUCACGAAUGAGUUGAGUGGAAUAAUGAACCUCCAGAUGUCUAUGUACACAUGUAUGAAUAAACUGUUGUACUCGCGCAUGCGAGCUUAUCCUAUA